Oxyura jamaicensis (ruddy duck) is the source of this 501-nucleotide long non-coding RNA. RefSeq lists it as uncharacterized. The record is from RefSeq and is a predicted model, not a curated record. NCBI's taxonomy places the organism in Eukaryota, Metazoa, Chordata, Aves, Anseriformes, Anatidae. The transcript is spliced from 2 exons.
GGCAGAGGACCUUGCUUCCAGAGAGAGCAGGGGAUAUGGACUGCUGAGAGCCCCCUACAGCCAGGUUCCAGUAACAGAAUACUGAGUCUGGAGUCAUUGAUCUCUGUAAUGACAGCACUGUCCCAAGCUAUUCAAGGUCUGCAUAUUAAGAUCAAGGAGGGGAAGAAAACAUAGCUUAGUCUUCCUAAUUCUGAAGAGACUGAACAGACCAAAGGAAAAAGCCUUGGCUAGAGAUACAUGAGUCAAAGGUCAGCUGCAUCUCAGCAUGGCACACACAUGACUGCCUUGCAUUGCCUCGUAGGGAGAAAUACAUGGUGUGUACCCAGGACCAGCUACUGGCAUGCACUUCACUGCUGGAAAAUUUGAAGGUAAAUGUAAAGCCCUAGGAGCAAAACAGUUCUCAUCAAGUUUAACACUGGUCACCCCACUCUUUAAUGUACAGGCAACCUCUGUGCCUUUACUGUCAACUGUUCAGUCACUAUGCUACUUUUAAUUUUACUG